UUUUUCUUUUUCUUUCUUUUUUUUUCUUUUCUUUUUACGCCCCACCUGGGGUGUAUGGAAGUUCCCAGUCUAGGGGUCAAGUUGGAGCUGUAGCUGCCGGCCUACACCACAGCAACAGCAAUGCGGGAUCCGAGCCACAACCUACACCACAGCUCAGAGCAAUGCCAGAUCCUUAACCCACUGAGCGACGCCAGUAUCUUCCUGGAUGCUAGUGGGGUUCUUAAUCCAGUGAGUCACAACAGAAACUCCCCGCAGCUCUUGCUUUAAAACAAAAUCUAAUCAUGUCUCCUCCCCAACUUAAAGCCCUCCAAUGUCUUCUCACUGCUUUUAAGAUAAAACCUAACUUAUAUGCCCCACAAGGCCCAGCAUGAUCUGACUCCUGCCCAGUUACCCAGCUACACAAAUGGUCCAGCCCCUGCUGUCUGUGAGCAUUUAUGUCAGCUGCUACUUUGGAGGAUGCUGUUCCUCAGGUGUGCACUUGGCUCCCCUCCCUCCUUUUCAUCCUUGAGUCUCAGCUCAAACACCACUUCCUCAUUCAGAAAAGCCUUACUUGCCCACCUUGUGUGCCCUUUUCCAAGCUGCUUUUCCUCAAUAUCCUGCUAAUUUCCUUAGUGUGCUCUCAUAACCUGUUAUCUUCUUCCUUUGUUCAUUACUUUUAUAUUUGCAUUUCCAUUUCUUUCCACCAGGUCUGAGACUUUAUCUGUUUCGUUCAUCACUGGAUGUCCCAUCACUUACUGUAUGCUUACCACAGGGACCAGCACAUAAUACAUAUUCAAUAAAGGCUUCCCAAAUGCAUACACAAAUAAAUGAAUGAAUGCUUAGAUAAAUGAUCUUUUUUCAUGCUAACUUCCCAUUGUCCUAAAUCCAGCCCUGGACAGGAAUCUCUUGCUCUGUUCUGCUAGCUGGUGUAUUUUGGGAUAGGAUGGCCCACUGGGAGACUCAGCUCAUGAACGGGGACACUCAGAAGGAAUCCAAGGACACAAACUGAAAGCACCAGAGACUUACCUUAGAAUACUUCCUGAAGGGUCUACUGAGGUCAGGCAGGCGUGCACUCCAGACAAUGGGGGGCACUGGCAAUGCUGGAGCUCCAUACAAAUAAAUCCACAAGUUGCAGGGUUGGGUGAUGGAAGGGUUGUGCUGUCUCAUACCUGCAUCUGGAGAACAUUCAGGUGUUUUGAUGGUGCUGGUUUCCUGGGCCAGCCUGGGGAAAUCAGUGAAGAGUGGCAAGGGGCAGCCCAGGACAGUGUGGUUGCCCACAGAAACACUCUACUUGGUAACUCAGUACUUCUAAUGGAAAGGCUUUCCAACUCUACUUCUUAUGUAAAUGAAACCGUAGCCAAGGAGAGACCAGAGAAACUAGCCCAGCACCUUCAGGACAGGAAAAGGUCUACAGGUCCCCUGGUUUACUAUCAAAUGAGUGUUAAGACAGAAUUCUCCUUAAUACCUAACCAACACUCCUUCUUUUACAGGGAACACAUUAAUAAAACCUUAAAUACACACAUAUAUGGUCAACAAAUUUUCAACAGUGAUGCCAAGAAUACACAAUAGGAAAAAGAUACUCUCUUCAAUAAAUGGUGUUGGGAAAUCUGGAUAACCACAUGCAAAAGAAUAAAACUGGAUGCUUAUCUUACUUCAUAUACAAAAAUCAACCCAACAUGGAUUAAAGGCUUAAAUGUAUGACCUGAAACCAUAAAAUUCCUAGAAGAAAACUCCUUGACACUGCUCUUGGUAAUGAUUUCUUUGGAUAUGACAUUAAAAGCACAAGCAAAAAAAGCAAAAUUUAAAAAGUGAUACUACAGGAGUUCCCAUCGUGGCGCGGUGGUUAACGAAUCUGACUAGGAACCAUGAGGUUGUGGGUUCGAUCCCUGGCCUUGCUCAGUGGGUGAAGGAUCCUGCGUUGCUCUGUGGUGUAGGUUGCAGAUGUGGUUUGGAUCACACGUUGCUGUGGCUCUGGUAUAGGCUGGUGGCUACAGCUCCGAUCAGACCCCUAGCCUGGGAACCUCCAUAUGCUGCAGGAGCAGCCCAAAAAAUGGAAAAAUAAACAAACAAGCAAACAAAAAAAUGAGAAGGACUAGCUACCCAGAGAUUUAUGACUCAGAUCAUGUUCCAAUCACAAAUGAGACAUGACAGCUACUUAGAACCAUGUGAUGAAGACAAUCAUCUCUGAAAACAGAAGGUCACCUCUUCCCCAGCAUGCGCCUCUUCCCUCUUUCCCCUAUAUAAUCUCUGAACAAAACCUGGGAGUUGGGAGAAUUAGUUAUUUGGGACAUGAGUCCACCUUCUCCCCAGGAUUGCCAGCUUCCUCACUAAAGCCCUCUUUCCUUUUACUCAACAUUUGUCUCUUAGUAUUGGAUUCUUAAGUAAUGAGCAGCUGAAUCUGAGGUCUGUAACAAAACUACAAAUCUUCUGCACACCAAAGAAAACCAUCAACAAAGUGAAAAGGCAAUCUGUGGAAAGAGAGAAAGUAUUUGUAAACCAUCUAUCUGAUAAGAGGUUAAUACCCCAAAAUAUAUAAGAAUUCUUAUAACUCAAUGGAAAAAUAAAACAAAACAAAAACCAAACAUCCCAAUUAAAAAAUGGGAAAGGAACUGAAGAAACAUUUUACCAAAGAGGACAUCCAAAUGGCCAAUGGGUAUAGGCAAAGGUGUUCAACAUCGCAAAUCAUCAGAGAAAUGCAAAUCGAAAGCACAAUGAGAUAUAUCACCUCAGACCUGUUAGGAGGUCUAUUAUCAAAAAGACAAGGGAUAACAACUACUGGCCAAGAUGUGGAGAAAAGGGAAAACUUGUACACUGCUGGUGGGACUGUAACUGGUUCAGCCACUAUGGAAAACAGUAUGGAGGUUCCUCAAGAAAUUUAAAAUAGUCUUCCUAGAACAGAUGCUGACUCACAGACAUUGAAAAACUUAUGGUCUCCGGAGGAGACAGUUUGGAGGGUGGGGGGAUGUGCCUGGGCUGUGGGAUGGAAAUCCUGUGAAAUCAGAUUGUUAUGAUCAUUAUACAACUACAGAUGUGAUAAAUUCAUUUGAGCAACAACAACAAAAAAAAAAAAAUGAAAAAAAAAAAAAGACACAAACCAGGCCUUCAAAGAGCUUACAAUUCUAAUUCAAAUAUUUGUAAAACUCACUACUACAGAUAGAAUAGAUGGGUAACAGGGACCUACUGCAUAGCACAGGGAAAUUUACUCAGUAUUGUGUGGUAACUUCUAUGUGGAAAAAAAAAAUCUGAAAAGGAAUGGAUAUAUGUAUAUAAAGUAUGGUUUACCUCGCUGUGUGCCUGAAAUUAGCACAGCUUUGUUAAGUCAACUAUAUUCCAAGAAAAUUUUUUUAAAAGAUGAUGGAUGUUUACUGAACUUACUGUGAUAAUCACUUCAUGAUAUAUAUAAAUCAAACCACUAUGCUGUACACUUUAAAAAAAAAAAAGAAAUUUAAAAUAGAAUUACCAAGAGUUCCUGUCAUGGCUCAGCAGAAAUGAAUCUGACUAGUAUCCAUGAGGAUGCAGGUUUGAUUCCUGGCCUCACUCAGUGGGUUAAGGAUCUGGUAUUGCUGUGAGCUGUAGUGUAGGUUGCAGACCUGACUGGGAUCCUGAGUUGCUAUGGCUGUGGUGUAAGCCAGUGGCUAUAGCUCUGAUUUGACCCCUAGCCUGGAAAUCUCCACAUGCUGUGAGUGCAGCCCUAAAAAGCCAAAAAAAAAAAAAAAAAAAAAAAAA
RNAcentral lists this long non-coding RNA (3705 nucleotides) under Sus scrofa (pig). RNAcentral describes it as "lncRNA (ENSSSCG00035030053.1)". Lineage: Eukaryota; Metazoa; Chordata; Mammalia; Artiodactyla; Suidae. The record is from RNAcentral.